RNAcentral lists this ribosomal RNA (308 nucleotides) under Peronia verruculata. RNAcentral's name for it is "partial large subunit ribosomal RNA". The record is from RNAcentral. Lineage: Eukaryota; Metazoa; Mollusca; Gastropoda; Systellommatophora; Onchidiidae.
GGAGUCGAGUAUGAAUGGGUCUACGGAAACAAGCUGUCUCUUUUUGGUUAUAUUGAAGUUUCUUUAAGGGUGCAAAGUCCCUUGAUUAGAAAAAAGACGAGAAGACCCUUAGAGUUUUUAUUAAAGAUAAGAAUUUAUUUAAGAUUUUGCUGGGGCGGCAAAGAGACAAAGCAAUUAAACUCUCUUUUUAUUGUUUUUAGAAGACGAGAAUGUUAAGAAUCAUUAAACUACCUUAGGGAUAACAGCAUAAUUAAAUUUUAGUUUGUGACCUCGAUGUUGGACUAGGAAGGCUUUUGACCAGCAGUCAA